RNAcentral lists this microRNA precursor (89 nucleotides) under Pelobates cultripes (western spadefoot toad). The record is from RNAcentral. Lineage: Eukaryota; Metazoa; Chordata; Amphibia; Anura; Pelobatidae.
CUCCAGAUGUUGCUGAACUACAACUCCCAUGAUUCAGUUUAUUAAAUAGCCUGAGAAUCAUGGGAGUUGUAGUUCAGCAACAUCUGGAG